GCUACAGGCUUAACACAUGCAAGUCGAGGGGCAGCAUGGUCUUAGCUUGCUAAGGCCGAUGGCGGCCGGCGCACGGGUGAGUAACGCGUAUCCAACCUGCCUUACACUCUUGGACAGCCUUCUGAAAGGGAGAUUAAUACAAGAUGUUAUCAUGAGUAAGCAUUUUCGCAUGAUUAAAGGUUUACCGGUGUAAGAUGGGGAUGCGUUCCAUUAGAUAGUAGGCGGGGUAACGGCCCACCUAGUCUUCGAUGGAUAGGGGUUCUGAGAGGAAGGUCCCCCACAUUGGAACUGAGACACGGUCCAAACUCCUACGGGAGGCAGCAGUGAGGAAUAUUGGUCAAUGGACGAGAGUCUGAACCAGCCAAGUAGCGUGAAGGAUGAAGGUUCUAUGGAUUGUAAACUUCUUUUAUACGGGAAUAAACGAAUCCACGUGUGGAUUUUUGCAUGUACCGUAUGAAUAAGGAUCGGCUAACUCCGUGCCAGCAGCCGCGGUAAUACGGAGGAUCCGAGCGUUAUCCGGAUUUAUUGGGUUUAAAGGGAGCGUAGAUGGGUUGUUAAGUCAGUUGUGAAAGUUUGCGGCUCAACCGUAAAAUUGCAAUUGAUACUGGCAGUCUUGAGUACAGUUGAGGUAGGCGGAAUUCGUGGUGUAGCGGUGAAAUGCUUAGAUAUCACGAAGAACUCCGAUUGCGAAGGCAGCUUACUAACCUGUAACUGACAUUGAUGCUCGAAAGUGUGGGUAUCAAACAGGAUUAGAUACCCUGGUAGUCCACACGGUAAACGAUGAAUACUCGCUGUAGGCGAUAUACAGUCUGCGGCCAAGCGAAAGCAUUAAGUAUUCCACCUGGGGAGUACGCCGGCAACGGUGAAACUCAAAGGAAUUGACGGGGGCCCGCACAAGCGGAGGAACAUGUGGUUUAAUUCGAUGAUACGCGAGGAACCUUACCCGGGCUUAAAUUGCAACCGAAUAUGGCGGAAACGCUAUAGCUAGCAAUAGCGGUUGUGAAGGUGCUGCAUGGUUGUCGUCAGCUCGUGCCGUGAGGUGUCGGCUUAAGUGCCAUAACGAGCGCAACCCUUGCCGAUAGUUACUAACAGGUCAUGCUGAGGACUCUGUCGGGACUGCCAUCGUAAGAUGUGAGGAAGGUGGGGAUGACGUCAAAUCAGCACGGCCCUUACGUCCGGGGCUACACACGUGUUACAAUGGGGGGUACAGAGGGCUGCUACCACGCAAGUGGAUGCCAAUCCCAAAAACCUCUCUCAGUUCGGAUUGAAGUCUGCAACCCGACUUCAUGAAGCUGGAUUCGCUAGUAAUCGCGCAUCAGCCACGGCGCGGUGAAUACGUUCCCGGGCCUUGUACACACCGCCCGUCAAGCCAUGGGAGCCGGGGGUACCUGAAGUGCGUAACCGCAAGGAGCGCCCUAGGGUAAAACUGGUGACUGGGGCUAAGUCAUAAC
Molecule: ribosomal RNA, 1451 nt
Filed under: uncultured organism
Description: SSU rRNA
Rfam family: Bacterial small subunit ribosomal RNA
Source: RNAcentral